Molecule: long non-coding RNA, 405 nt
Organism: Gavialis gangeticus (Gharial)
Lineage: Eukaryota; Metazoa; Chordata; Crocodylia; Gavialidae
Exons: 3
Source: RefSeq, a predicted model, not a curated record
GCCAAUAGAACUACUGAUUGAAAUAGAAACUGGCCCUUAGCCUAGAGCUCUGUUGGAUAGCAACACAUUCCUUUUUCUCCUCCAUGAGCUCCUUGUUCAUUUGCCUUCCAAUGGCAAUCCAAAAGCACCCAUACUGUGCAAUGUCAUGGCCUAAUUCCUGUUCUGUGAUGUGUCAAAGAAGAGUCACUUGUGAUGGAAUGUGUUUGUGUUUGAUGCUACACCAACUCAUGCACAAAGGAGAGGUGCAAAAAAGGGGAACAGUGUGGGGGCAGUCCUUCAUGCAAAUGACAAAGACUUGAAAAGCUGGAGAAGCCACCUCAACCAAAAUUUCCUCUGACAGGCUUGGAUGUGUUGUUUUUAGCACUAGAUUUUUUUUGGUCUAGCCUGGAAGCAUCAGCAGUUGCU